CUUAGAUUUAUUUAUUUAUUUUUUUUUAAUUUUAUGUAGGUUGAUUUAUAUAUGCGUUUUUUAUUCUCAUGAAAAUACUCGGCUACAUAAUUACUUGACAUAUUCAAAAUAUGCUAGGAAAUUGUAAAACUUUUCAACACGUGCAAAAAUGUGCAUUUAUAUAGUCAUUUUGUUUUGUCAUAAAUUAUAUAUAGUACAUAUAUCCCACAGGUAUACUGAUGAUGACCGACUGAAGAAAACAUGAAAAUUUAAUGGGAAGGAUAGUGACAGAGAGGAUUUCCUCCUCAAAUCCAAUUUAUUUAAGGCUCUAUAAGGCCUUGAUACCAAGAGGCUGACCUGUCCAGUUUAUGCUUGGAAUUGGGGAAGAUUUAACAUAAAAAGAAGUACACUGUGGGACUGUAUUUUAAGGAAUUGACUGAAAUAUCUUGCAAGAAAAGCAGAUACUCCCACAAGGUGGCCUUUGAUCUGGACUGUGAUUGAUGAAGGAAAAACUGCUGUAUUAACUGAAACUCAUUUUACAUCAUAUUAGCUUGGGCAGUUUAUUUAUUAAAAAUGUGUUGUGGAUUUGAAUUGCUGUAAACAAUCAUGACAUUUUAUGAGUUUCUAUAAAUAUCAUUAUGAGUGCAAUAAUUCAUUUGAAAAAAAAAAGCAUGGAUCAAAAUGUUUAACAUAUGGGACUUGAAAGAGUAAUAUGGCUUUGAAAAUUUAUCACAAUAUUUUAAGCUUCAAUAUUUUAUUUUACAAUAUUAAAUGUAUGAUUUGUAGUU
This is a long non-coding RNA of Saccostrea cuccullata (small rock oyster), 767 nucleotides long. RefSeq lists it as uncharacterized. The transcript has 3 exons. NCBI's taxonomy places the organism in Eukaryota, Metazoa, Mollusca, Bivalvia, Ostreida, Ostreidae. The record is from RefSeq and is a predicted model, not a curated record.